RNAcentral lists this ribosomal RNA (325 nucleotides) under Aphyosemion schluppi. RNAcentral's name for it is "partial 12S ribosomal RNA". It matches the Rfam family "Bacterial small subunit ribosomal RNA", at positions 868 to 1360 of the family's 1533-position model. The record is from RNAcentral. Lineage: Eukaryota; Metazoa; Chordata; Actinopteri; Cyprinodontiformes; Nothobranchiidae.
UUCGCCUGGGAAUUACGAGCAUAAGCUUAAAACCCAAAGGACUUGGCGGUGCUUUAGACCCAUCUAGAGGAGCCUGUUCUACAACCGAUAACCCCCGUUCAACCUCACCUUUUCUUGUUUUUUCCGCCUAUAUACCACCGUCGUCAGCUUACCCUGUGAAGGCUUACUAGUAAGCAAAACUGAUACUAUCCAGAACGCCAGGUCGAGGUGUAGUACAUGAAAAGGAAAGAAAUGGGCUACAUUUUCUAACUAAGAAAAUAACGAAAAUUGCAUGAAAUAGCAUACUAAAGGAGGAUUUAGCAGUAAGUAAGGAAUAGAGAGCCCU